Non-coding RNA from Ophiobolus disseminans, 140 nucleotides. The record is from the annotation of a GenBank genome assembly. Lineage: Eukaryota; Fungi; Ascomycota; Dothideomycetes; Pleosporales; Phaeosphaeriaceae.
GGUCUUGUGGUCUAGUGGUAUGAUUGUAAGAAAUAACGUAUAUACUCCCCUCAACACUUCACUAACAAUGCACCAGCUCGCUUAGGGUUUACCCGAGCAUUGCUUGCGAGAGGCCCCGCGUUCGAGUCGCGGCAAGACCC